UAUAUGAUAUAAUAGAGUACGUGUUUCAAAGAUUGAGCUGCUAGAAAUGCAUUGUGUAUAAAGACUAAACAAAAACAAAACUUUUCCUUUGAUAAGUCACGAAUAGUUACUUAUUCUAGGGCUUAGCACUAUAAGUGCAGGCGUCAGCGUUAUCCGUUCUUUUCAAAUUUGUGAAAGGAAGAGUACAUCUUUAUAAUGUUACUUUGUACGAACUAAUGUACCACCGAGGCAUCAGCGCAUUCACAUAUGUAUAUAACUUUAGGUUGUAUAAAUGGGUAUCUGUACGAUCAUUGUUUUGAUAACACAGUACAACAAAUUACGACAAUUUUUUCAGCGGCGAUGAGAUAGUAAUUUUCGGAAAGAGGUCAUUGUCCUGAUCAUUUUGUCCGAAGAAAGUAAUAGACUGCUAGGUCUAAGGGUUUUGUUACACACAGUUAAAGUUUUAAGGUCUACGGAGUGGUUUAAUCAUCAAUAAAAUAUUGUAAACCUUGGUUUUUGUGUAGCGUUUUGAAUUAAACUUCGUACCGGGGGUUUUUAAGCUCAAGGAAUUCGAAUUUUGGGUCUAAUUUAAAAUUGUAGACAAUUUAGAGGGCGCCACCGUACAAAAAAAGUAAAAAAUCAAUUGAACGCCAUCUACAGGUUAAAUGGUUGAUCUAAAACCUAAACAAUGUUCAGCAAAAAUGUUCCUAAUGAAAAAUUAGGGAGGCUCUUGUACAACAAAACUUUUAGACCACAAUUUCACACUUAAAUAUAUACAACACCUAAAAUAACACAACAUUUACAUAUUAUUUCAAAUUUUACUUUUAAUUGAAAUAAAUUUUUAAUUUAUAAAAGACUAGCAAACCUGGCGAACCCCGUUUCGCCACCAGAUGGCUUUGGUUUAUGUAAUAUUUCGUUUGGUGAUUAAAAGAUGAAGAACAUUUUUUUUUUGUUUUAUAUUUGGAAAGGAAAAAUUUUAUUUCAUUUGAAAUGAAAAAUGAAGUGUUAUUUAGUUGAACUUCUCUAAGUAAAUGAAAGUGGAUCCAAAGUAAAUACUGAAUCGAAGCGUUAUACGUGUCCGCAAAUUAUCCGUUUCAUUGAAGUGCUCUUUGGAAAACCACAUUUUUUGUUUUUUGGUCUGACGUUAACACAAACAAAGCGGAUGGUUUCCCAACUCGUGAACACGCAACGUAUAACUGCCCAUGUGAAAAACAAUGAUUUUCUAAAUUUAUCCCGCAAACACUAAGCGAUUGGCCAUGCGACUUGUUAAUUGUCAUUGCGAACGCAAGGCGAACUGGAAAUUGCAAUCGUUUGAAGUCAAACGGAAGAUCAGUCGAAAUAUAUACAUUUUCACCUGCGUACUUUCCGUUAAUAAUGGUUGCUUCAAUCAAAUUCGGCAUAAGUCUUUUUACCGAAAAUCGAGUACCGUUGCAAAGUCGCGGCGGAUUCAAAUUACGCAAUAUCAUAAUAACUGUACCAACUUUGAGUUGCAAGUUAUGUGGUGGAAAUCCUGGUAACUCCAGAGAGUUCAAAAACUCCGUUGGAUAAUUUACUACAUCAUCGGGAUUUGUUAUGGAAUCAACGGAAUUGUAUGUCACCAAAUCGCCAGCAAUUUUUGAUUGAAUGGUGAAACUCAGUGCCUGUGCAUCAUUAUUCUUUGCGGCAAGAAUUGCUCGUUGACUUAACCAAGCAUAAUUCUGAUAAUUCGCACUAAUGGUUUGGAAAACAUUUUCAAAAAUAGCUAAUUGAGAGUCUACAAAUCGGCAAAAGUCGUUGCUAACAAUUGUUUGGAAAAUUGUGCAGCAAUUCGAUCAUUUUGAAGUUGAACUCUCAUAUUAGUGGUCCAUAAAGGUGAUGCCUUCAGGCAAGCAUUCAAUUCAUCUGCAUCCGUUGCACGGGGAAUUACUGGCAACGUCUGCCUGUCAACAAUAAUUGCAGCAACAUCAUUAACGGUGGGUGCAUUGAAUCUUCGCACAUGUUUACCUGUUGGGGUACAAUCAGCAUUUUGACAAAUUUGUGCGUAUCCGAUGGCAUUCGUUCCAAUGCUGUUUUGAACAUAUUAACCACAGCAUUAUUAGCGUGAAAAAAUGCUUGUAACUGUUCAAUAAUUCGUCUCUUUAACUGUUGUGUUCCCUGUAUAUUGCACCGCUCAUUCAGCUGAUCGACCAUCGACGAAAUGAAAUAUAUUUGCAGAAAUUUAUGCGGUUCAUCUGGUGUUGGCACCAUUGAACCAUGCAAAUGAUAUAUUUGUCCUUGUAUCUGUAAUUGCAAACAAUCAUUUGUUGAAGAAUACGGUGUAACUUAUGAUCGUGUGAUGGUGUUUUUUUUUUGUCAUGCGAAAGCAGUUAUUGUAUUCAAGGAUGUGUUGAAGAAAAUGGCUGGAAUCGGGAUCACUUCCAUCGAACAAUGGUUUCAGUGGCUGUGGUGGUGUAAGUAAUGGAUCCAGUUUGACUUUUCCACUUGCGCAGCACAAUCCAGCCGCUUCUCUUUUGAACUUUAACGCAUUGCAAUAUCGGCAUAUAGUCGUCAUUGGUCCAAUAUCUAAGUUUGCAUCAUCACUGUAGUUCGCAGUGGGAUCAGAUUGGAAUGCCAAGCGAUUGUAUGAUGCCAAUGAUCUUCGUGUGCUCACGCGUUGUCUCAAUCACACGUGUUGCUGGCUUGCAUGCUUGUGCGGCGGCCGAUGUUGGCACGUCGUCCUCUAGGCAUUUUGGACUAUGGAUAGAGUGGUGAAUUUAACCUCAAAUGCACGCUCCACAUAAUUUAUACAGUUCAACUUACCACCUUAAAGACAAAUGCCUGUUGUUGAAAUUGAAUAAAAAUUUGCACAAUACACGUGAUUGAUUUGAUGGUUUCCAAUUGAAAUGUUAGUUCCAAUUGUAAUGAACGAAUAACUUAUUUUUCACAAUUUCACAGUGAACACAAUACCGGUUUGUCACAUGAAAUUAAUUGAGCAGAGAACAAUGAGUAGCUGUCAAACAAUGUAUCACGCACCGGCGCCAUCUACUUAAAAUAUUGGUUUGUAGUACAUGCUAUGUAUCACAGAUGGCGCUGUAUGUGAAAAAAGAUUUUCCCGCCUUUCUGUUAAAAUAUUUCCUGAAUUUUCUUUGCUAUAAACCUCACGGAGCCCGAGACCUUUCCAACGAAUACAAAACCGUGGAAAUCGGUUCGUGCGUUCUGGAGUUAUAGCGUCAGGAAG
Non-coding RNA from Bactrocera oleae (olive fruit fly), 3175 nucleotides. The record is from RefSeq and is a predicted model, not a curated record. Lineage: Eukaryota; Metazoa; Arthropoda; Insecta; Diptera; Tephritidae.